GUUGUUUUUCAUGUCUGCAGGUUGAAGCAACUUCAUUAACGUGAUAUUUAGCCCCUGGAAUGCUAAUGUUACCAGAGGAUCCCUGUCGAUAAACGUGAAUUUUACCUCCUGGAAUGCAAUUUUUACCGGGGAACUCACCUCAACACGUGAUUGGGUUGGUUUACAGUAGCAAUUGGGUGGGUUUUGUUUGCGAAAAACUGGCAACCUUGGCCCAUAAGAGGUAGGUUAAGUAGGCUUAGUGUAAGUGGUAGGUUAACUAUAGAUUUGAGCUCAUGUUUAUGAAAAUAUGGGCUUUUAAUGUCAUCUUUUGUGUAGAUAAGCUUUUUUUUAUAUAAAGGUUUUCUAUUGCUGGCCGUUUGUGCAUGUAUGAGUGGAAGUAAGCUGAUUAGAUAAACUAUAAUGUUAAAAGUAUGCACUGUGUAGUUAAUUAGAUACGUCAUUUAUAUAGAGUGUGAAAAUGGACAGAAACUUAAAACAGGUUUUGAUGUUUCAUGGUAAGAAAAGUAGUAAUCUUUUCAAAUGGUGGAUUGUAUUGUAUACCCAGAAUGCAAUGCACAAUGAUGUAGAUUCCCACUUUUAUAUACCCAAGGUACUCAACUCAACUUUAUUUAUAAAGCACUUUCAACAUCACGACUGGACCCAAAGUGCUGUACAGAGAAAGAUAAAAGAAAACAGGGUUAGGUGGGAACUUCCUGGUGGGAACUUCUUGCAUUACAGUCUCCCCUUGAGCGGGGCUCCAGUGCGGGAACCAGGGUGGAGUCAUCAAGGAUCCAGCUUAUUAUUGGCACAUUGGUAAGAAAUUGUUCAUCUGCUGCAUUGCACUGUCACUUCUGGUAGAAAUUCAUUGACCUUUUGUGAUAGGUUGUGAUUUUACUUAGUUUAAUAAAAAUGUACUUAAUUAGAUUUUUUUUUUUUUUACUAAAAUAAAUACAUAAAUACACUGUAUAGCUAGGUUUCUGCUUAAAACAGUGUAACUGGGGGCUCUGAAAAAACUGCUUGUGGAUAAUUUGUUAAUAUUGUAAACUUUCAUCUGAAUACAUUAAAUAAGUGUUUAAUGAAUAGUGUUGUGCACUUUGUUUCCAACCCCACUGUUAUUGAACUGUAAAUUGAAAAUAUUGUGUGAUUUGUUUUGCAUUCAGUUUUCAGUUAAAAUAUUUCACACCAUCAAAGUUGAUAUUUUAUGAGGAUUUAUUUUUGGGGUUUCUGUUUAUACAGGACAGUACAGAAAGCGCACAAGUGGGAGAGAGUGGAGGGGACGGCAUCAGAAAGGACCUAGAGCUGGGACACUUUCAAGGAUCACCCAAAGCACAACCACACUAUAUGCACGAGGCUGUUGGUUCUAACAUUUUAGGGUCCCCCUCGGUAGAAAUCACAUUCCGCGUUCCCCAUAGUUUUUAUGAGUUUACAUGAAAAUCCUGUUGUUUCAACUGGAAAGAAAUCCCUCCGAUUGCAGAAUCCGAACAUAGUGUUUACAUGAAUGCUAAAUAGAGAGGAAGCAAGAACAAUGGAUAACAUUCCUCAAAUAAUGGGACUUCUAGACGGGACACAUAUUCCCCUCCUUCCUCCUUCAGAUGGGAACAAAGAGUUCGUAAACAGGAAAGGCUGGCCUUCUUACAUUCUACAAGCUGUUGUGGAUCACAGAUCAUGGUGAGAUGAUUCAAGGGAAUGCAGCAAAACAUCUAACUGGCCUGACCAGCAAUGUUAAGCCCUACAGUAGCUACAGGAAAUCUUAACAUGUUUUUGUGUUUUCUUUUGUUUUUCAUACAUGCACUGUUGUAUUAAAUAAUUCAACGAGUAAUGUUCAAUCUUCUGUCCAAUCCCCACACAUUCUGAAUGAAAUCUGAAUGAAACAUGAACUGGAAAUUCCUUUUGAUGAUCUGCUUGUAGAGUCCUUACAGUGAAGACAUGACAAGGCCGUCAAAAAGAGGAAUAAUAUGGAGCGAAGAGACAGGAGACGACAGAGACCAAGAGAAGAAGGAACUCCUCUUCACUGCUAAAGAUCUGACUCGGUUAAUUCGUCAACAUGAGCAUAUAAACAAGAGAUGAAUGAAACGGGUGAAACAAUUAAUUGAAAUGAAUGAUUUUGACAUGGAAAUGAGAUCUUUGUCAAGCGAGGUUAACAUUUUGAGACUCCAAAAAGUCAGCACCGUUUCCAAAGAAUAGAAACAUAAGGAGGGGGCCUCUGUAGGCAGUUAACUGACAUCCUGUCCGACAACAUCCUGUCAGAGCGACACUGGCUUCCUGUGUUUGUGCUUACAUAAACAUAAUAAUGACAACCUCCUCAUAUAGUUUGGAGGCUGUGUUUGUGUGUGUGUGUGUGUGUGGGUGUAAUAGCUCUGCUUAGCUGAUGUAACUAUGGCAACACAAGACCCACUGCAGAGGAAAAGGGUGUCUUAAUUUUCAGCUUAACUUUUGUGUGCCCAAGAAGGGAAUACUUUGCUGAAUAUUUUGUUGAGGAGAAAUAUUAUAUCUGCCUCCUCCAUAUAUAAUGGAAUGCUUUCAACUGAAAAAAGAAUUGUGCCUCAUCUCGCUGUUAUUUUUGAUUAUGAGUUUUUGUUUUUACUAAAGCGAAACCAUUUCAUAUGUUGAUGUGUUUAAACUAGAGAUGCAUCGAUUAACCAGCAAGUGAUCGGAAUCUGACUAAUUUUUUGCAUGACUGGCCCGAAUCAAUGACGUCACAGCCACGUGCACACUUUACAGUCACUUGUAAACAUGUUGUUUCGCGUUAGAAUGAUUCUAAUUUUAAUUGCAUUCAGUGUAAACGACGACUGAUAAUGUAUUUAUGUUGUGCCAGAUGAGGCUUGCACAGCCUGAGUGAGUGUGUGAGACAGCACACACAAAGUAACUCACAGGAAUUUAUAGAUGCAUACUGCGGUAGAUAAAAAAAAGAUAUUUACAAAAUAUGAUUUAGGUAAGCAAUCCCAGCCGGCACAUGAUCGACCUACAACGUUGAAAUAUGGUUGAAAUAAGGUCAGUUGUUAUUUUAACGUUGAAUCAAUGUUGAUACAACCCACCCAGCACCAGACGUCAUCUGGGCAUUGUUUUUUGGGCUAAAUCAAGUCGGCCCAUCAUGGCCUUCUUUUAGACCAAAUAUCAGCGUUGAAAAUUGGUCUUUGUUUGGUCCAUCUGAUUGAGUCCAAAUUUAGCCCAAAAAUAGAUGUUGAAAACUGGGCUUUUGGUCCAUCUCAUUUAGUCCAAAUUUAGAAGCACGUUUAUUUCAGACCACAUAUAUAGCCAUUAACAUAAAUGUAGCUAUAAGAAAUAGAUUAGACAUAUGACAUAUCUGAAGAAUUUAAAUAUAUGAAAAUAUAUUUUAAAAAUACAUCAAACAUUAAAGCUUAAAAAUUGUUCCUCAUGAUACAUGUGUAAGUACGAAUAUUCAUGCAUUUUUAAUAAAAGUUUUUUUUUUUCAGUGUUAUUUCUACACCACGUUUACCAUUUCUAAAAAUUAUAUUAUAUUACAUUAUAUUAUAUUAACGUAAAUUCUGCGUAACUUCUACGUGCUUUACUGGGCGCGCGCGCUGAACUGGAGCGGAGGAAGUCACAAUGGAAACGGGGCGGCAGCUCAACUGUCAAGCUGCUAAACGCUGUCUCUCACGGUUGUUUUCACUAAUUUCAGGGAGGUUUCAUCUCUAAAAUUACACAAAUAGUACAUAAAAGUGUUCCUGACACUUUUUUUCAUGUAAAUGACACGCUUCCGUUGGACACUUUAUAGAAAUGGUUUAGUGUCUUCAGAAAAAGUCAAUUGGCAUCUCAACCGUAAGGCUAACUAUAAGAGGUAACUUGAGCUCUUCUUUAUGAAAGUUUGGGUUUUAAAUGUCAUCUUAUGUGUAGCGCUUUAUAUAUAAAGAGGGAGAGAGAUUUUGCUUUCAAUUUGUCAACGGUUGAAUGAAAGUAAGCUAAUUAAUUUAACCUAAAAGUAUGCACUGUACAGU
This is a long non-coding RNA of Cyprinus carpio carpio, 3935 nucleotides long. NCBI's taxonomy places the organism in Eukaryota, Metazoa, Chordata, Actinopteri, Cypriniformes, Cyprinidae. The record is from Ensembl.